This 253-nucleotide ribosomal RNA is filed under the name uncultured bacterium. Its description in RNAcentral is "partial 16S ribosomal RNA". It matches the Rfam family "Bacterial small subunit ribosomal RNA", at positions 524 to 776 of the family's 1533-position model. The record is from RNAcentral.
UACGGAGGGUGCAAGCGUUGUCCGGAUUUAUUGGGUUUAAAGGGUGCGUAGGCGGGUUAUUAAGUCAGUGGUGAAAGCCUUCAGCUCAACUGAAGAAUUGCCAUUGAUACUGAUGAUCUUGAGUAUGAUUGAGGUGGGCGGAAUGUGUCAUGUAGCGGUGAAAUGCUUAGAUAUGACACAGAACACCGAUUGCGAAGGCAGCUCACUAAGUCAUAACUGACGCUGAUGCACGAAAGCGUGGGGAGCAAACAGG